Long non-coding RNA from Perca fluviatilis (European perch), 925 nucleotides. RefSeq lists it as uncharacterized. The transcript has 4 exons. NCBI's taxonomy places the organism in Eukaryota, Metazoa, Chordata, Actinopteri, Perciformes, Percidae. The record is from RefSeq and is a predicted model, not a curated record.
CGCGUGCGAAAUUCAGGAUGCAAAAGAUACCAUUGACAGUCUGCACGUGAACAAGAACUGCAAGAUUUGCUGACCUCAAAGUAAUCUGAAGAGGAAGCUCUCCUUUGGCAGCAGAGUACUUCAUGCUUUCUGUGGACCCGACCAUUGUGAAUGGUCACAUCAGUGCCUUCACCGAUGCUCUUGUGUUGAUGUUUGCCAAUAUUGGAGUUCUUGCAGAGAUGCCUCAAGAUCAACCCAGACAAGGGAUCAAGAGUGGAGAACAAUGCUACCAGAAAGCAGCUGGCGGUCAGUCCAAAGGUUCUUUCCCUGAUAACAAAAAUUGCGGACUAUGAAUGGAGGGAGUAAAAAGAAACACUUUUCAGAAGGGAGCCCAUUGCAAUCCAAUGUCCCUAGUUCUUUCUCAUGCACAGUUCAUGUUGGUCUCACUACUGUAUUCUUGAGUGGUGUUUAAUUGUUGUCAGAUGCUACCACUGUGAAUACUAGGUACACAUUGUACCAUAUUUUAAGUAUAGAAUUGGUUCACAGUACUGGACAAAGUUACUACUUUAAAAUUAUAGGCUACUUCAGUACCUUCAGUUAAGUUACUGCAGUAACAGUGGAAGCAAACAUUACACUGCACCUGGAAUAAAACUUUAUUUUAUCUUUCCAAAACGGGCUAGUUUUUAAAGGCAUCUGCAGUACCAGACAGACUUUUAAAUUGUAUGUAGCUUGUUUUUUAGUUUCAAGUCUUUUAAUUUCACUGGGAACAUUAGCUGAACCUACUGUAAACUGUUCUUGAACUUUCGCCCACAAGCAGCCAAUUGUUGGACUGCUAGCAGUAUGUAGCCAUGCCACGUUAAGCUUUGUAAGCAAGUAUGUUGCUAGAGCAGCAACUGUUUUCUAUUCUGAUCUGUUGGUCAACAGAAUAAAUACAUGUUGAACAGUA